This 75-nucleotide transfer RNA is filed under the name Coprobacillus sp. OF03-2AA. RNAcentral describes it as "tRNA-Cys". It matches the Rfam family "tRNA". From Rfam's summary of the family: Transfer RNA (tRNA) molecules are approximately 80 nucleotides in length. Their secondary structure includes four short double-helical elements and three loops (D, anti-codon, and T loops). The record is from RNAcentral. Lineage: Bacteria; Bacillati; Bacillota; Erysipelotrichia; Erysipelotrichales; Coprobacillaceae.
GCUCCUUUAGCAAAAAGGUAAAUGCAAUGGACUGCAACUCCAUUUGUCUCAGUUCAACUCUGAGAAGGAGCUCCA